RNAcentral lists this long non-coding RNA (632 nucleotides) under Homo sapiens (human). RNAcentral's name for it is "HSALNT0308898". The record is from RNAcentral. Lineage: Eukaryota; Metazoa; Chordata; Mammalia; Primates; Hominidae.
GUCCUGGGCGGAGGAGGAGAGCCAUAUGCAAGCCUGUAGUACAGUCCUAUGAGCAAAAACUCAGACAUCUUUGAGCGAUAGAAGAGACAACUGGGCCGGGGGCCAGUUCAGUGCGGACCUACAUUUCAACCACCAUGAUGAAGCCAUUGUGACAAGGCACCAUCAAUCAUCAUGUCCCUUUACCAGGAGGGCCCGUGUCAUAAGCCACUAUAUAAAGGGAAUGAUGGGUGGACUGCUUUGGACAAAUGGACCUGCGGUAGGAGAGAGGGACAACAGUAGGAGCAGGCAGAUCUUGCUGUUUCAACCAAAACCUCAUGCUGACCAGAGUUGAGGAACAGAAGAAGAUGGUGAAGGCCUGCAGGUAUAGGUGUUCAGCAUGUCAUCUGAAAUAUUCCCCACAGAGGCAAAAAGAAAGGAAAUUAUCUCUGAAAAGGAAUGGGAGGACAAGUCAGCAGAAUAUGUCAAUGUUUUGGUUGAAGAAGCUGCUUGAAUCUGGGCUUUUCUGUGCCAUGUGUUCUCCCAGGGCCAGCACAAAGAAGGGCUUUUGGUGCAGGCCCAAGACCACCAUAAUCAUCAUUGAUUAUUCCUCUCCACGCCAGUGUCUCUAAAUAAACUUUCUCUUCUUUCUCUGA